CCUACGGGAGGCAGCAGUGGGGAAUUUUGGACAAUGGGCGAAAGCCUGAUCCAGCAAUGCCGCGUGCAGGAAGAAGGCCUUCGGGUUGUAAACUGCUUUUGUACGGAGCGAAAAGGCCCUUUUUAAUACAGAGGGUUCAUGACGGUACCGUAAGAAUAAGCACCGGCUAACUACGUGCCAGCAGCCGCGGUAAUACGUAGGGUGCGAGCGUUAAUCGGAAUUACUGGGCGUAAAGCGUGCGCAGGCGGUUUUGUAAGACAGGCGUGAAAUCCCCGGGCUCAACCUGGGAAUGGCGCUUGUGACUGCAAAGCUGGAGUGCGGCAGAGGGGGAUGGGAAUUCCGCGUGUAGCAGUGAAAUGCGUAGAUAUGCGGAGGAACACCGAUGGCGAAGGCAAUCCCCUGGGCCUGCACUGACGCCCAUGCACGAAAGCGUGGGGAGCAAACAGGAUUAGAUACCCUGGUAGUCCACGCCCUAAACGAUGUCACUGGUUGUUGGUUAUUUACUUACUCAGUAACGAGCUAACGCGUGAAGUUGACCGCCGUCGGAGGUACGGCCGCGAGGUUAGUAACGUUAAAGUAAGUUAGUACGCGUGAGACGUCGCCGACGGACGACGACGAGGGAGAGG
This 626-nucleotide ribosomal RNA is filed under the name uncultured bacterium. RNAcentral describes it as "bacterial SSU rRNA". The stretch from base 1 to 541 matches the Rfam family "Bacterial small subunit ribosomal RNA", at positions 338 to 873 of the family's 1533-position model. The record is from RNAcentral.